CCCGCUGAACUUAAGCAUAUUAAUAAGCGGAGGAAAAGAAACCAACUGGGAUGCUCCUAGUAAUGGCGAAUGAAGAGAGCAAAGCUCAAACUUGAAAUCUGCACUUCCUUGAGGGGUGUCGAAUUGUAGUUUUAGGAUUCUUAGUCGUGGGUUCAUUGCUCGGUCCGGUAAGUUACCUCGAAAGGUACGCCCGAGAAGGUGAAAGUCCUGUGCUGGAUUGGCGAAAGGCUUGCGUCUGGGUUUCCACGAGUCGGGUUGUUUGAGAUUGCAGCCCUAAUACGGGUGGUUGAUCCCAUCCAAAGCUAAAUAUUGUAACAAGACCGAUAGCGGAUAAGUACUGUGAAGGAACGGUGAAAAGCACUCUGAAAAGAAGGCGAAAAGAACUUGAAAUCGUUAUAAGGAAAGCGAACUUUGACAGUGACUGAUGUUGGAUUGUUCGAUUCGGGCGGGCUCUUUUACUCGGAAGGUUUUGGGCGGUAAAACGUUUGGACCGACCGGGACGGGGGGUUCGUUCGGGUAGUGUGGUUUAACAACGUGUCAGCGUGGAGUUCUCCGAGGGCUUAGUAGGGCGGGAAGAAGGUGCCUGGGGUUGUCUUUCGGGGCAGCUUCGGGUCAUAUAGACUCUCGUUCCAAAGGUUCGCGGAAGCUUCUGUAGACGUUCGAAUUCUCGGGGUAAAACCCGGGGAGAGGGGAGGCGGGGCUCGGCUCAGGCCUGAGGGGGGCGUUUCUGGGUAAAACCAGAGGCGUUUUCUAUCGGGAGGUGGGAGUUUCGUUUCUUUCAUUCGAUCGAUCGCUGGUGAAAUGGCAAAGUUCGACCCGUCUUGAAACACGG
RNAcentral lists this ribosomal RNA (832 nucleotides) under uncultured fungus. Its description in RNAcentral is "eukaryotic LSU rRNA". It matches the Rfam family "Eukaryotic large subunit ribosomal RNA", at positions 24 to 664 of the family's 3401-position model. The record is from RNAcentral. Lineage: Eukaryota; Fungi.